GAUUAGAUACCCUGGUAGUCCACGCCGUAAACGAUGUCGACUUGGAGGUUGUUCCCUUGAGGAGUGGCUUCCGGAGCUAACGCGUUAAGUCGACCGCCUGGGGAGUACGGCCGCAAGGUUAAAACUCAAAUGAAUUGACGGGGGCCCGCACAAGCGGUGGAGCAUGUGGUUUAAUUCGAUGCAACGCGAAGAACCUUACCUACUCUUGACAUCCAGAGAACUUAGCAGAGAUGCUUUGGUGCCUUCGGGAACUCUGAGACAGGUGCUGCAUGGCUGUCGUCAGCUCGUGUUGUGAAAUGUUGGGUUAAGUCCCGCAACGAACGCAACCCUUAUCCUUUGUUGCCAGCGAUUCGGUCGGGAACUCAAAGGAGACUGCCGGUGAUAAACCGGAGGAAGGUGGGGAUGACGUCAAGUCAUCAUGGCCCUUACGAGUAGGGCUACACACGUGCUACAAUGGCGCAUACAAAGAGAAGCGACCUCGCGAGAGCAAGCGGACCUCAUAAAGUGCGUCGUAGUCCGGAUCGGAGUCUGCAACUCGACUCCGUGAAGUCGGAAUCGCUAGUAAUCGUGGAUCAGAAUGCCACGGUGAAUACGUUCCCGGGCCUUGUACACACCGCCCGUCACACCAUGGGAGUGGGUUGCAAAAGAAGUAGGUAGCUUAACCUUCGGGAGGGCGCUUACCACUUUGUGAUUCAUGACUGGGGUGAAGUCGUAACAAGG
This 720-nucleotide ribosomal RNA is filed under the name uncultured bacterium. Its description in RNAcentral is "bacterial SSU rRNA". It matches the Rfam family "Bacterial small subunit ribosomal RNA", at positions 776 to 1496 of the family's 1533-position model. The record is from RNAcentral.